This 494-nucleotide ribosomal RNA is filed under the name uncultured bacterium. RNAcentral describes it as "partial 16S ribosomal RNA". It matches the Rfam family "Bacterial small subunit ribosomal RNA", at positions 28 to 507 of the family's 1533-position model. The record is from RNAcentral.
GACGAACGCUGGCGGCGUGCUUAACACAUGCAAGUCGAACGGAAAGGCCUGCUUUCCCUUGUGGAUUGCGGGUACUCGAGUGGCGAACGGGUGAGUAACACGUGAGUGAUCUGCCCCCAACUUGGGUAUAAGCCUGGGAAACUGGGUCUAAUUCCCGAUAGGACUGCAGGGUGGUGCCUGUGGUGGAAAACGAUUUUCUAGUGGUUGGGGAUGAGCUCGCGGCCUAUCAGCUUGUUGGUGGGGUAAUGGCCUACCAAGGCGGCGACGGGUAGCCGGCCUGAGAGGGGGGACGGCCACAUUGAGACUGAGAUACGGCCCAGACUGCUACGGGAGGCAGGAGUGGGGAAUAUUGCACAAUGGGCGGGAGCCUGAUGCAGCGACGCCGCGUGGGGGAUGACGGCCUUCGGGGUGUAAACUCCUUUCGACCGCGAGGAAGCCACCUGGUUGGAAGGGUGGUGACGGUAGUGGUAGAAGAAGCACCGGCUAACUACGUG